This 2769-nucleotide long non-coding RNA is filed under the name Zostera marina. Its description in RNAcentral is "long non-coding RNA (ZMAR_LNC002473)". The record is from RNAcentral. Lineage: Eukaryota; Viridiplantae; Streptophyta; Magnoliopsida; Alismatales; Zosteraceae.
AAGUUUAAGAAUUAGGUAAGUCGAAAGUGCAAGGAAAACAGUUUAUACAUAAUCAUAUGACUAACCAAGAUCGAACACACGUCUGUAAUCCUUGAUGUAACCAAGUAUUUUUUGAUCAAAAUCAAAUCCUGGAUUCCAGAUUAGAGAACCAUAUCCAAAAACCCAGAGCACCAUAGUUGCUAGUUCCUUCCUACCUAAGGAGAAGAGCAGACACACAGAUCCAGCCUCUGGGUUGGAUAAUGUUUCUGGAUUCUCCUCCUCACUGGUAUCAGUCUUUGAGAUGAGAAGGUGAUGCAUUCAUUCUAUAUAUUACUAAUUAUCACUUUUAAAUUCCAAUAUUACUAAUUAUCCAUGAAAUAAUAGUAAACACAAUAUUUUAUUGAAUAAACUUGAAAUUGUUUGUUUUCAAAUUUAUUUAUGCAUACCCAAUGUUAAGUAAUCCAAGAAUUUCUCGUAGUUUUAAUGUUUAUUGUAUCGAUCCAGUGAAAUUAUUUUUAGAUAAAUCCCUAUGAAUUAAUAUGAAUAAUCAAAAUUUUAAUUAAAAAUUAGAAUUUUUUUUAUAGUUAUGUCAAAUUAAAUAAUUGAACAGUGUUUAUGAAGUUAUUUACAGUUACCACUAUUCUUAUAAUUUAUUUGGCUAGAAUUUUUUUAAGUCAAAGUUGAUUAGAAUUUCAUUGAAGUUUCUGGUCAUGGUGACCAGCUCAAGGUAUGUGAAUUCUUUAUUAGAUGUAUGGAUUCCACCGUGCGGACUCCAAUUUUCCGAACGGCCGGCGCGUUCCAUAUUCAGCCUUACAUUUGAGUUCUAGUAACCACUGGGUUCCCUUUAGCAUAUUCCUCCUUGGCCUGGUCCUGUAGGAACAGCUGAUGUUACUUAAGCAAGCAAUGCCACACAUUGAACAGUAGUGAAGGAAAAUAAAAGAAAGUAUUGCUUACUGUGUAAAAAUCAACAUAAGUUCCAAGAUCAUAUUCACAUUCCCUCGUCCUCAGAACAUGUAAAAUUAAGAAAAACAACAAUUAAGUGUGAUUCAUAUAUUCAUAAAUUGAUUGAUUCAUCCAUAAGCUAACCUCCAUUGCCAUUCUUUCCUUUUCCAGUCCUCCUCUUACACAAUAUGCAAUACCCCACUGCACAGAAUAGUUUGUAUUUUCAUUGCUAAUAUUGAUUAUGUAACUAGAGCUUUACUACUACUUACACAUAAGGCCCCUUUUUUGGAUUCCACAGUCUAGGUUCUUGCAAGAUGCUCUGGUGUUCCUCUGUGAUCAAUAUCAUGAUCAGGAUGAUAGUUCAUAUCAUGAAAUAAUUCAAAAUCUGAACCAUGGAGUUCAGGAAAAUUCAGAUGCUCCCCUAGACAUUGUUUAUAACUAUUCAGAUAUGAAUAUGAAGGAAAUACCUACAAAUUAUAAUUCAGCCCAUUCUGAAUCUAUAAAUUCCAAAAUAGCUCAAAAAGAGGCUAUUUUAAGUCAUGAACAAACUCACACAUCUAACCAGCCAGACAGAAACAUGAAGGAAAUACCUUCAAAAGCUAAUUCAGACCAUUCUGAAUUCAUAAACCAUAAAACAGCUAUAAAAAAUCUUAGAAACCAGGUCCAGUUACCUUAUGAAGCAUAAUUUUAGUUGUCAUAUUCAGAAGAAAAAAAUAGAAAAAUUAGGACAAAAAAACAAAGAGAAAGAGGAAACCACAACGAUUAUUAUAUCUAUAGGUCUGAAAACAGAAAACAGAAUUCAGUAGAUGUAAAUUAGAAUCCAGUAACCCUAUAAAGCAUAAUCCAGUAACCCUACAAAAGGAUAUGUGAUAUUAGAUAUAGAAAUAAAAAAAUUUCAUAUUUUUCUAGAAAUGUGAUUUUUAGGGAAGGCAUUUUCCCAUUUAAAGAAGGUGUUUUUGAAAAUAACUCAUCCUAAACACAAUAUUCAAAACUAUAUGAGGAAAUAUACAAUAGAAUCAUACAUGAAUACUAUAAUUCCAAAACCAGAAAUAAAACUAUAAAAGAAACUGAAAAUGACAUCUCCUCACAUACAAAAUCAGAAUCUCAAAUAUUUGAAAAAACAGAGAAAUUGAGUUCAGAAAAUAAAGGUUCAGUUAUACCUGACCAAAAUAAAGAGAGGAGAAUGGCAUCUUCAGACUAUAAAGGAAGAUUAAAUUUCCAAAAUAAAAAAAGAAAUUAGUCAAUCCAAACUCAAUUUCCAAAAAAUAACCUAAAACAAAACAAAACAUAUGAGGAUUCAUUAGAAACCAAUAAAAAUAGGCAAUCUAAUGAAAUUCCACAUAUAAAUGCUCAAAUAAAAUCAGAAAGAUGAUAGUUCACAUCAUGAAAUAAUUCAAAAUCUGAACCAUGGAGUUCAGGAAAAGUCAGAUGCUCCCCUGUACAUUGUUUAUAACUAUUCAGAUAGGAAUAUGAAGGAAAUACCUUCAAAUUAUAAUUCAGACCAUUCUGAAUCUAUAAAUUCCAAAAUAGCUCAAAAAGAGGCUAUUUUAGGUCAUGAACAAACUCACACAUCUAAACAUAAAAUCCAAGGGAUUAUUAGGGAAGGCAUUUUCCCAUUUAAAGAAGGUGUUACAUGCUGCAAGUUUAAGAAAUAGGUAAGUUGAAACUACAAGGAAAACAGUUUAUACAUAAUCAUAUGACUAACCAAGAUCGACACACGUCUUUGAUCCUUGAUGUAACCAAGUAUUUUUUGAUCAAAAUCAAAUCCUGGAUUCCAGAUUAGAGAACCAUAUCCAAAAACCUAGAGCACCAUAGUUGCUAGUUCCUUCCUACCUAAGGAGAAGAGCA